RNAcentral lists this ribosomal RNA (253 nucleotides) under uncultured bacterium. RNAcentral's name for it is "partial 16S ribosomal RNA". It matches the Rfam family "Bacterial small subunit ribosomal RNA", at positions 524 to 776 of the family's 1533-position model. The record is from RNAcentral.
UACGGAGGGUGCAAGCGUUAAUCGGAAUCAUUGGGCGUAAAGGGCGCGUAGGCGGAAUGGCAAGUCAGGAGUGAAAUUCCGGAGCUCAACUCCGGAGCUGCACUUGAAACUACCAUUCUCGAGGAUAGACGGAGAAAGCGGAAUUCCAUGUGUAGCGGUGAAAUGCGUAGAUACAUGGAGGAACACCGGUGGCGAAGGCGGCUUUCUAGUUUAUUCCUGACGCUAAAGCGCGAAAGCAAGGGGAGCAAACAGG